This is a small RNA of 194 nucleotides. It matches the Rfam family "Brucella sRNA CI27". The record is from Rfam.
GCAAUGCUUACAGCAUGUCUCCCGAAAGUGGGAACCGGUUUCGGGAUAAAGACAUGCGUGAAAACAAGAGAUUAAAGCAUGUCGCUUGAACACGAUAAAGCACGACGUGCUUUAGGCUACGGAGUAUCGGGGUAAUGAUGCAGAAAGAUGCUGGAAUUCUGGCGGAUGCGGAUAUUUCCGCGCUGUUUGAAAGC